Molecule: ribosomal RNA, 253 nt
Filed under: uncultured bacterium
Lineage: Bacteria
Description: partial 16S ribosomal RNA
Rfam family: Bacterial small subunit ribosomal RNA
Source: RNAcentral
UACAGAGGUCUCAAGCGUUGUUCGGAUUCAUUGGGCGUAAAGGGUUCGUAGGUGGCGGGGUAAGUCAGGUGUGAAAUCUCGGAGCUCAACUCCGAAACUGCACUUGAUACUGCCUUGCUCGAGUACUGGAGAGGAGAUUGGAAUUUACGGUGUAGCAGUGAAAUGCGUAGAUAUCGUAAGGAAGACCAGUGGCGAAGGCGAAUCUCUGGACAGUUACUGACACUGAGGCACGAAGGCCAGGGGAGCAAACAGG